This 464-nucleotide ribosomal RNA is filed under the name Vreelandella stevensii. RNAcentral describes it as "partial 16S ribosomal RNA". It matches the Rfam family "Bacterial small subunit ribosomal RNA", at positions 338 to 795 of the family's 1533-position model. Lineage: Bacteria; Pseudomonadati; Pseudomonadota; Gammaproteobacteria; Oceanospirillales; Halomonadaceae. The record is from RNAcentral.
CCUACGGGUGGCAGCAGUGGGGAAUAUUGGACAAUGGGCGAAAGCCUGAUCCAGCCAUGCCGCGUGUGUGAAGAAGGCCUUCGGGUUGUAAAGCACUUUCAGUGGGGAAGAAAGCCUUGGGGCUAAUACCCUCGAGGAAGGACAUCACCCACAGAAGAAGCACCGGCUAACUCCGUGCCAGCAGCCGCGGUAAUACGGAGGGUGCGAGGUUAAUCGGAAUUACUGGGCGUAAAGCGCGCGUAGGCGGUCUGAUAAGCCGGUUGUGAAAGCCCCGGGCUCAGCCUGGGAACGGCAUCCGGAACUGUCAGGCUAGAGUGCAGGAGAGGAAGGUAGAAUUCCCGGUGUAGCGGUGAAAUGCGUAGAGAUCGGGAGGAAUACCAGUGGCGAAGGCGGCCUUCUGGACUGACACUGACGCUGAGGUGCGAAAGCGUGGGUAGCAAACAGGAUUAGAUACCCGUGUAGUC